Non-coding RNA from Odocoileus virginianus texanus, 1279 nucleotides. Lineage: Eukaryota; Metazoa; Chordata; Mammalia; Artiodactyla; Cervidae. The record is from RefSeq and is a predicted model, not a curated record.
CCUUACUUCCUGCCCGCUGCUCUGGCCUCCAGAACUGGGAGACGAUAAACUUCUGUUGUUUCACGUCGCCAAGCUGGUGAAAACAGCCAAGUCUUCGCCCCGGGUCUCGCUCUCUCAGCUCUGUCCUCUCCACUUCUCGGCUUUGUGACGGAUGGAGGUGUUGUGUCCGUUUUACAGAGGAGGAAACUGGAGCCCCCAGGACUGCUGGACUUGCUCAAGGUCACAGAGGAAGAAAAUGAUGGAGCAUGGAUUUGGACCCUGCAGACCAGCUCCAGGUAACUGGCUAGUGACCACAGCUUGGCCUGACUUGCCAAGGGCUAAAGUGCAGUGUCUGAGAGAGAACUGCAGGAAUUCUGGCUCAGGGGAGCCGAGAAGCCUGGGGAAGGGUGAGUUCCCCAUCUUUGAACAAGGUCAGAGCCACCGCCAGUUCCAAUUGCCCUUAAUCUGUCCAUCUGGAUUGGUAAAUUUUCACACAAAAAACGUUAACAGGGGCAUUCACGCACAUGCUUACCAGCCAGACCACCUCUUUCCAACACCCUAGUUUUGGCCUUAGUGAAAAAAGAAAAGAAAAGAAAAAAAGUUGCCAAAAGCACCUCAGAACAUCCAGAACGCUUUGCCCCUCCAGCAGGAAGACCUCCCAAGGCCUGGCCCUUCCUCCCUGUCACACUUGCCUUUGCUGCCAGCUCUUGAAAGGAUCUGAGCCUGAGAGCAUCUGGCGAGGGGGUCUUGAUCUGAAAGAGCCAAGAGAAAAAGUAGAACAAGAAAUACCAAAUGCUUUUCUUAACUGAUUUGCCUGCACUUCAUUUGUUGUUGCUUUAAUACAUUUUGGCUCUUUUAUUUCAAACGAGUGGUAGGUGGUGAAAACAAAGGUUUGAAAGUACUCACCUGUGCCAGGCAGCUGAGCAAACGAUGAGUUUAAUGAACCUCUCUUACUAUCUGACCUUCCCCCUCAACCUGCACCCACUUCACUGUCACAGGCACCAGGGAAAUGGAAGGACCUGUCAGCCACUCUAACUGGUGACAACCUACAUCUAUUUAUUCCUCAUCACCCAGCUACACUCACAGAACAAAACCUAAAGCCUUCAGUACCCAGAAGUUGAUUGGUUUGUUGCUGAGGCAUUUAUGAACACACUCUUUCCAUUUUCCCUUUGUUAUCUGUUCAUUAUCUUUUGUAAUCAAGGCCUGUUUUCAUGUGUAGGUACAAGUAGCUGAUAUUUGAAUGUACUUUGAGAUAAGCAUUUCAAAAGAUAUUGGCUACUAAAAAAAAUAAUUGGAACAA